ACGAACGCUGGCGGCAUGCCUCACACAUGCAAGUCGAACGAGACCUUCGGGUCUAGUGGCGCACGGGUGCGUAACGCGUGGGAACCUGCCCUUAGGUUCGGAAUAACUCCCCGAAAGGGGUGCUAAUACCGGAUAAUGUCUUCGGACCAAAGAUUUAUCGCCUUUGGAUGGGCCCGCGUUGGAUUAGCUAGUUGGUAGGGUAAAAGCCUACCAAGGCGACGAUCCAUAGCUGGUCUGAGAGGAUGAUCAGCCACACUGGGACUGAGACACGGCCCAGACUCCUACGGGAGGCAGCAGUGGGGAAUAUUGGACAAUGGGCGAAAGCCUGAUCCAGCAAUGCCGCGUGAGUGAUGAAGGCCUUAGGGUUGUAAAGCUCUUUUACCCGAGAUGAUAAUGACAGUACCGGGAGAAUAAGCUCCGGCUAACUCCGUG
This 432-nucleotide ribosomal RNA is filed under the name uncultured bacterium. RNAcentral describes it as "partial 16S ribosomal RNA". It matches the Rfam family "Bacterial small subunit ribosomal RNA", at positions 29 to 507 of the family's 1533-position model. The record is from RNAcentral.